GAUUCCAUAGUCUAGAGGUUAUCAUGUCUGCUUUACACACAGGAGGUCUUUGGUUUGAAACCCAGUGGAAUCA
Molecule: transfer RNA, 73 nt
Filed under: Perca flavescens (yellow perch)
Lineage: Eukaryota; Metazoa; Chordata; Actinopteri; Perciformes; Percidae
Rfam family: tRNA
About the family: Transfer RNA (tRNA) molecules are approximately 80 nucleotides in length. Their secondary structure includes four short double-helical elements and three loops (D, anti-codon, and T loops).
Source: Rfam by way of RNAcentral